AGAAUUUACUGCACAAAAUUAAUUUCUUAUGUAUGCUGGUAAACAGUUUUAACAUGGUGCAAAGUUAAUUUCAUACCGCUAUUUUGUAGUUGUGACGGCGCGUUUCUCUGACGCCACUUCCUGUUUAGCUCCUGACGUUCCGGGCGCGGAUUUUUGAAAACAACAAAAAGUUGCAUUCACGCCAUUAAACGGAGACUAUAAUGUGGUGGAUCAGUUCAACAGCAGACUGCUGGAUCAGGCCAUGGGAGAAGUGCUCAAUGACAGAGUGACAGAGCUCUAUCAGGAACAAAGGCACUACAUGAAGACCGCCCGGGCACGAGUGAAUCAUCAGUGACCUUUUUCAUCACAUGCUCUUUUGAAGCUAAGCUUCAGAGGACUUCAUCUCAGUGAAAACAGGCAGCUCUGUCGUCCUUCUGAAAGAUAUCCAGUACGUCUCCUGCCAGACUAAAGACGGAGAGUCAACAGGAAGCAGGUGCUGAGGGAUUAUAUAUUAAGAUGAAUUUCUUAAUGUUUAACUCAUCCUCUCUUUCUGACGUGAGGCUGUAUAAAGCCUUGCAUCUGCCGACUGAGUGGAAUUCUGAGUCUGUUUAGGGGAUUCAACACCCAAAAAUGAAAUCAGGAGUUUGUGUGUUAAUAAAACGAAGGUAAAUAUGUUUUACUCGCCGUUUACCCUCAUCCUCUUCAGAUUCAGACAUGCUUACGUUAACCGGGGUGCUCUGAUGCUCGUCUGUGUUGUUAUGCGUGACUCAUUCAACAUAUAGAUGGGUUGAGCAUUGAGCAUUUCCAGUUUAGACAUAUUUUUUUGUCUAAAUUGGGCUUAUUAAAAUUGCAAUACUGUCUCUCCACCUGGCAGCCUCGGGGAAACCCAUAUAUUAUAGUCCAAAAAAGUUUAGGCUGUUUAAAAGGAGCUGCAUAAACAAAACAUUAUGCUAAACUAGUGAUGACCUAGUUUCUCAAUUCUCUUAUAUAAAUAUAAGAUAUAAAACUCUUUAUGUUUAUAUCAUUUUCCUGUCCUGGAUGUAUCAAGAUUGCAUGAGUACAUGAUGGGAUCAAACGAAUCAGCCAAGGAUGUUUCCCAAUGUUUGCACACACAAAUUUCAUACUGACAAAAUGCAUGCUGAAAAAAAAAAUCUCCAAAAUCUUUGCACUGAAAAAGCAUGCUGAUAAAAUUUUUGCUAAAAUAAAAUAGGCAUAAUGAUAACAAAUUUAUCAACAUAAAAUGAAAAAAAAAAAGUUCCCCCAGAAAACCUUGCACUUGAAAUGCAUGCUGUUAAUAACUUGAUCAAUGAAUAAAAAUAAAAAAGAUAUUCCCAGUUCAUACUUUAAAUGCAUGCUGAUAAUAAUUGUAUGAAAAUAAAAAGUAUGAUUUUAGUACUAAAUAAGUGAUUUAUUUUCUUAAUAAACACUGGAAUGAAAUGUAUUACCUGACCUCAUCCAGUAACUGCUCCGUUUCCUCCAGGUUUUUUUGAUUGGAGAAGUUUGGCUGUUCUGUGUAUACUUUCCCCAUUUUCUCUAAAGCUGAAAUUCAGAUUUGUGUGUGAGUGUUGAACUAAAUGUCAUGUAAUGAGCAAUAUAAACAGGACAGAAGCACUUAAUAAGAUCUCUGAGGAAUAGAUCAGUUCUGUUUAAAGGGGCUCAUAUCAUACUUUUUUAAAUUCAGUUUCCUAAAGUCUAAGCAGUGUUUUUAUGAACGUCCUACAGUUUUCACUCAGAUUAGUUCGUCUGGUGUUUAGGAAUUACAGUAUCUGUACGGUUUCUUCCUUUUUAUAUAAAUGUGAACCUGGAGCACGAAAGCAGUCGUAGGUCGCUGGGGUGUAUUUGUAGAAAUAGCCAAAAAUACAUUGUAUUGGUCAAAAUUAUUGAUUUUUCUUUUAUGCCAAAAGCCAUUAGAAUAUUAAGUA
This is a long non-coding RNA of Carassius auratus (goldfish), 1901 nucleotides long. RefSeq lists it as uncharacterized. The transcript has 3 exons. The record is from RefSeq and is a predicted model, not a curated record. Lineage: Eukaryota; Metazoa; Chordata; Actinopteri; Cypriniformes; Cyprinidae.